UACGGGGGAUGCAAGCGUUGUUCGGAAUCACUGGGCUUAAAGCGCGUGUAGGCGGCUCGGUUAGUACCUUGUGAAAUCCCUCCUCUCAAUGGAGGAAUGGCUGGGUAUACUGCCGGGCUCGAGGGAGGUAGGGGUGCCUGGAACUCUAGGUGGAGCGGUGAAAUGCGUAGAUAUCUAGAGGAACGCCCGUGGCGAAAGCGGGGCACUGGGCCUUUCCUGACGCUGAGACGCGAAAGCGUGGGUAGCAAACGGG
RNAcentral lists this ribosomal RNA (253 nucleotides) under uncultured bacterium. Its description in RNAcentral is "partial 16S ribosomal RNA". It matches the Rfam family "Bacterial small subunit ribosomal RNA", at positions 524 to 776 of the family's 1533-position model. The record is from RNAcentral.